UAUGAGCACAGUUUUUUUUGGGUGCUCCGCCAGUCGAGAAUUUAACGGCAUGGAGGUCCAAUCCGUUGUAGGAGUGGCCGAUGAGAGAAACAGUCACGUACGGACUGUUGAGAUUGUUCAGCCAAGUUUCAAUCUACAUUUUGGUUUUCCUAUUGGACUUUGCGUAGCAAAACUUGUUCAUAAGUUGGAAAGAUUUGAAACCUGGGGGCCAUAUUGGCCAAUUGUUGUACCAAAAUUAGGUGCAAAAUAAUAAGGAACCUUACUAACCUCGGCAAAUCGUGGAUAUCUGUCCCAAGAGAUGCGUCCGCUGCCAGCCUUCAGAUAUGUACGUCUCGAAAUCCGCAAUCUUGAUGAUGUACUUCAUUUUAGCGUUGUUUGAAAUGGUGACGAUGCCCUUGAUUUGUUCGGGGGCAACCAUAACAUCAGUGUAACCAAGGACGGACGGGGUGGUCCAGAAGUCAUAGUCACCACUGAGGUAGAGAUCCCGCAAGAGUUCUAAUUGACCUGGAGUGGUGGCCUCAAUCGAGAAGACUUGGUAGCUGAGAAAGUUUAAAUUGUAAAAAUAUUUCUAGAUUUUCAUUUAAGAUAAAGUUGUUUUAUAGCAUAUAUAGUCUUUGCCAAAGAUAUGUAUGUGAAUAUUUAUAAGGAUGAUUAUGUUUUAUAUUCUGGUCGCUGUGCAGCUGGAGCUUUUAGUGAAAAGGCAAUACUUUGCCAAAGUUUUCCUAGUAAAGCUGAGGCCAAAGUCUGCUAACUCACUAAUAAGCUACACUCGCACAGCACCUAACUAAAUCACUUAGAGUACAGUCACACUCGAUGUAAAUUUUACCUAUGCAAGUUUGUAAGUGAAUAAACCGUUACAACGCAUGUAA
This is a long non-coding RNA of Folsomia candida, 869 nucleotides long. RefSeq lists it as uncharacterized. The record is from RefSeq and is a predicted model, not a curated record. Lineage: Eukaryota; Metazoa; Arthropoda; Collembola; Entomobryomorpha; Isotomidae. The transcript has 3 exons.